AGGCCUACCAAGGCGACGAUCAGUAGCUGGUCUGAGAGGACGAUCAGCCACACUGGGACUGAGACACGGCCCAGACUCCUACGGGAGGCAGCAGUGGGGAAUUUUGGACAAUGGGCGAAAGCCUGAUCCAGCAAUGCCGCGUGUGUGAAGAAGGCCUUCGGGUUGUAAAGCACUUUUGUCCGGAAAGAAAUGGCUCUGGUUAAUACCUGGGGUCGAUGACGGUACCGGAAGAAUAAGGACCGGCUAACUACGUGCCAGCAGCCGCGGUAAUACGUAGGGUCCAAGCGUUAAUCGGAAUUACUGGGCGUAAAGCGUGCGCAGGCGGUUGUGCAAGACCGAUG
RNAcentral lists this ribosomal RNA (341 nucleotides) under Ralstonia sp. RNAcentral's name for it is "bacterial SSU rRNA". It matches the Rfam family "Bacterial small subunit ribosomal RNA", at positions 261 to 594 of the family's 1533-position model. Lineage: Bacteria; Pseudomonadati; Pseudomonadota; Betaproteobacteria; Burkholderiales; Burkholderiaceae. The record is from RNAcentral.